GAUGAACGCUGGCGGCGUGCCUAAUACAUGCAAGUCGAGCGAACGGACGAGAAGCUUGCUUCUCUGAUGUUAGCGGCGGACGGGUGAGUAACACGUGGAUAACCUACCUAUAAGACUGGGAUAACUUCGGGAAACCGGAGCUAAUACUGGAUAAUAUUUUGAACCGCAUGGUUCAAAAGUGAAAGACGGUCUUGCUGUCACUUAUAGAUGGAUCCGCGCUGCAUUAGCUAGUUGGUAAGGUAACGGCUUACCAAGGCAACGAUGCAUAGCCGACCUGAGAGGGUGAUCGGCCACACUGGAACUGAGACACGGUCCAGACUCCUACGGGAGGCAGCAGUAGGGAAUCUUCCGCAAUGGGCGAAAGCCUGACGGAGCAACGCCGCGUGAGUGAUGGAGGUCUUCGGAUCGUAAAACUCUGUUAUUAGGGAAGAACAUAUGUGUAAGUAACUGUGCACAUCUUGACGGUACCUAAUCAGAAAGCCACGGCUAACUACGU
This 496-nucleotide ribosomal RNA is filed under the name uncultured bacterium. RNAcentral's name for it is "partial 16S ribosomal RNA". It matches the Rfam family "Bacterial small subunit ribosomal RNA", at positions 28 to 506 of the family's 1533-position model. The record is from RNAcentral.